CCAGCAGUCUCGGUAAUACGUAGGUAGCCAGCGUUAUCCGGAUUUAUUGGGCGUAAAGCGAGCGCAGGCGGUUUUCUAAGUCUGAUGUGAAAGCCCUCGGCUUAACCGAGGAAGUGCAUCCGAACCUGGGAAACUUGAGUGCAGGAGAGGACAGUGGAACUCCAUGUGUAGCGGUGAAAUGCGUAGAUAUAUGGAAGAACACCAGUGGCGAAAGGCGGCUGUCUGGUCUGUAACUGACGCCUGAGGCUCGAAAGCAUGGGUAGCGAACAGGAUUAGAUACCCUGGUAGUCCAUGCCGUAAACGAUGAAUGCUAGGUGUUGGAGGGUUUCCGCCCUUCAGUGCCGCAGCUAACGCAUUAAGCAUUCCGCCUGGGGAGUACGACCGCAAGGUUGAAACUCAAAGGAAUUGACGGGGGCCCGCACAAGCGGUGGAGCAUGUGGUUUAAUUCGAAGCAACGCGAAGAACCUUACCAGGUCUUGACAUCUUUUGAUCACCUGAGAGAUCAGGUUUCCCCUUCGGGGGCAAAAUGACAGGUGGUGCAUGGUUGUCGUCAGCUCGUGUCGUGAGAUGUUGGGUUAAGUCCCGCAACGAGCGCAACCCUUAUGACUAGUUGCCAGCAUUUAGUUGGGCACUCUAGUAAGACUGCCGGUGACAAACCGGAGGAAGGUGGGGAUGACGUCAAAUCAUCAUGCCCCUUAUGACCUCGGCUACACACGUGCUACAAUGGAUGGUACAACGAGUUGCGAGACCGCGAGGUCAAGCUAAUCUCUUAAAGCCAUUCUCAGUUCGGACUGUAGGCUGCAACUCGCCUACACGAAGUCGGAAUCGCUAGUAAUCGCGGAUCAGCACGCCGCGGUGAAUACGUUCCCGGGCCUUGUACACACCGCCCGUCACACCAUGAGAGUUUGUAACACCCGAAGCCGGUGGCGUAACCCUUUAGGAGCGAGCCGUCUAAA
Molecule: ribosomal RNA, 956 nt
Filed under: Lacticaseibacillus rhamnosus
Lineage: Bacteria; Bacillati; Bacillota; Bacilli; Lactobacillales; Lactobacillaceae
Description: bacterial SSU rRNA
Rfam family: Bacterial small subunit ribosomal RNA
Source: RNAcentral